UAUGGGUUAGUGGCGGACGGGUGAGUAACGCGUGGGUAACCUGCCUUACACAGGGGGAUAACACUUAGAAAUAGGUGCUAAAACCGCAUAAGCGCACAGCUUCGCAUGAAGCGGUGUGAAAAACUCCGGUGGUGUAAGAUGGACCCGCGUCUGAUUAGCUUGUUGGCGGGGUAACGGCCCACCAAGGCGACGAUCAGUAGCCGGCCUGAGAGGGCGGACGGCCACAUUGGGACUGAGACACGGCCCAGACUCCUACGGGAGGCAGCAG
RNAcentral lists this ribosomal RNA (268 nucleotides) under uncultured bacterium. RNAcentral's name for it is "partial 16S ribosomal RNA". It matches the Rfam family "Bacterial small subunit ribosomal RNA", at positions 86 to 354 of the family's 1533-position model. The record is from RNAcentral.